This 28-nucleotide ribosomal RNA is filed under the name Anisakis simplex (herring worm). RNAcentral describes it as "partial 18S ribosomal RNA". RNAcentral also lists the same sequence under 3 other names. Lineage: Eukaryota; Metazoa; Nematoda; Chromadorea; Rhabditida; Anisakidae. The record is from RNAcentral.
UUGUAGGUGAACCUGCGGAAGGAUCAUU